Molecule: ribosomal RNA, 116 nt
Filed under: Lepisosteus oculatus (spotted gar)
Lineage: Eukaryota; Metazoa; Chordata; Actinopteri; Semionotiformes; Lepisosteidae
Source: RNAcentral
GCCAGCAGCCAUAUCACUCUGCAACCCACAACUAACAACCCACUGAAGCUAGGCAUGUGUGAGCCUGGUCAGUACCUGGAUGGGAGACCUCCUGGAAGGUAAGGUUGCUGCUGGAA